UGAAGUGUCGCCAAAUGGUAAAGGCAUUGAACUUUGACUUCAAUAUUUGUAGGUUCAAUUCCUACCACUUCAG
Molecule: transfer RNA, 73 nt
Filed under: Nitzschia sp. PL1-4
Lineage: Eukaryota; Bacillariophyta; Bacillariophyceae; Bacillariales; Bacillariaceae
Description: tRNA-Gln
Rfam family: tRNA
About the family: Transfer RNA (tRNA) molecules are approximately 80 nucleotides in length.
Source: RNAcentral